GUUUUAACUGAGCGUUCAGUUACUUGACGUAGACCCGAAACCGGGCGACCUACCCAUGAGCAGGAUGAAGCGAAAGUAAAAUUUCGUGGAGGUCCGAACCCACGAGCGUUGAAAAGCUCGGGGAUGACUUGUGGGUAGCGGUGAAAUUCCAAUCGAGCCCGGAGAUAGCUGGUUCUCCCCGAAAUAGCUUUAGGGCUAGCCUCAAGGUGAGAGAUACGGAGGUAGAGCACUGAAUGUCCUAGGGGGUAUUGCACCUACCGAAGACUAUCAAACUCCGAAUGCCGUCAUCUUAUACUUGGGAGUCAGACUGUGGGUGAUAAGAUUCAUAGUCGAAAGGGCAACAGCCCAGAUCGUCAGCUAAGGUCCCUAAAUGUAAGUUAAGUGGUAAAGGAUGUGGGAUUGCACAGACAACCAGGAUGUUGGCUUAGAAGCAGCCACUCAUUCAAAGAGUGCGUAAUAGCUCACUGGUCGAGUGAUCCUGCGCCGAAGAUUUCCGGGGCUAAAACUUACUACCGAAGCUACGGCAUCAGUAAUGAUGGGUAGGGGAGCUUCCCAUACGGGUUGAAGCAUGACCGUAAGGACAUGUGGACAGUAUGGGAGUGAGAAUGUUGGCAUGAGUAGCGAGAUGUGGGUGAGAAUCCCACAGGCCGUAAACCCAAGGUUUCCAGGGGAAGGUUCGUCCGCCCUGGGUUAGUCGGGACCUAAGCUGAGGCCGAAAGGCGUAGGUGAUGGACAACAGGUUGAUAUUCCUGUAC
RNAcentral lists this ribosomal RNA (755 nucleotides) under Clostridioides difficile. RNAcentral describes it as "partial 23S ribosomal RNA". It matches the Rfam family "Bacterial large subunit ribosomal RNA", at positions 681 to 1444 of the family's 2925-position model. The record is from RNAcentral. Lineage: Bacteria; Bacillati; Bacillota; Clostridia; Peptostreptococcales; Peptostreptococcaceae.